CCAACAGGGAUUGCCUCAGUAACGGCGAGUGAAGCGGCAACAGCUCAAAUUUGAAAGCUGGCUCUUGCAGAGCCCGCGUUGUAAUUUGUAGAGGAUGCUUCGGGCGCGGCGCUGGUCUAAGUUCUUUGGAACAAGACGUCAUAGAGGGUGAGAAUCCCGUAUGUGACUAGCUGCCUGUGCCUAUGUGAAGCUCCUUCGACGAGUCGAGUUGUUUGGGAAUGCAGCUCAAAAUGGGUGGUGUACUUCAUCUAAAGCUAAAUAUUGGCCAGAGACCGAUAGCGCACAAGUAGAGUGAUCGAAAGAUGAAAAGCACUUUGGAAAGAGAGUUAAACAGUACGUGAAAUUGUUGAAAGGGAAGCGCUUGCAAUCAGACUUGCGCGGCGUCGAUCAACCUGGGUUCUCCCUGGUGCACUCGGCGCUGCUCAGGCCAGCAUCAGUUUCAGCGGUUGGAUAAAGGCCUAGGGAACGUGGGUUACUUCGGUGACUGUUAUAGCCCUAGGUGCAAUGCAGCCUGUUGGGACUGAGGACCGCGCUUCGGCUAGGAUGCUGGCGUAAUGGUUGUAAGCGACCCGUCUUGAAACACGGACCAAGGAGUCUAACAUCUAUGCGAGUUUUUGGGUGUUAAACCCAUAAGCGUAAUGAAAGUGAACGGAGGUGAGAACCCUUAAGGGUGCAUCAUCGACCGAUCCUGAUGUCUUCGGAUGGAUUUGAGUAAGAGCAUAGCUGUUGGGACCCGAAAGAUGGUGAUCUAUACUUGAAUAGGGUGAAGCCAGAGGAAACUCUGGUGGAGGCUCGCAGCGGUUCUGACGUGCAAAUCGAUCGUCAAAUUUGAGUAUAGGGGCGAAAGACUAAUCGAA
RNAcentral lists this ribosomal RNA (857 nucleotides) under Spathularia rufa. RNAcentral's name for it is "eukaryotic LSU rRNA". It matches the Rfam family "Eukaryotic large subunit ribosomal RNA", at positions 65 to 939 of the family's 3401-position model. The record is from RNAcentral. Lineage: Eukaryota; Fungi; Ascomycota; Leotiomycetes; Rhytismatales; Cudoniaceae.